UGAGGAAUAUUCGGCAAUGGGCGCAAGCCUGACCGAGCCAUGCCGCGUGAGUGAUGAAGGCCUUAGGGUUGUAAAGCUCUUUCACCGGUGAGGAUAAUGACGGUAACCGGAGAAGAAGCCCCGGCUAACUUCGUGCCAGCAGCCGCGGUAAUACGAAGGGGGCUAGCGUUGUUCGGAAUUACUGGGCGUAAAGCGCACGUAGGCGGAUUGUUUAGUCAGAGGUGAAAUCCCGGGGCUCAACCCCGGAACUCCCUUUGAUACUGGCAAUCUCGAGUCCGAGAGAGGUGAGUGGAAUUCCGAGUGUAGAGGUGAAAUUCGUAGAUAUUCGGAGGAACACCAGUGGCGAAGGCGGCUCACUGGAUCGGUACUGACGCUGAGGUGCGAAAGCGUGGGGAGCAAACAGGAUUAGAUACCCGCGUAGUCC
This 424-nucleotide ribosomal RNA is filed under the name uncultured prokaryote. RNAcentral describes it as "bacterial SSU rRNA". It matches the Rfam family "Bacterial small subunit ribosomal RNA", at positions 355 to 796 of the family's 1533-position model. The record is from RNAcentral.